Molecule: long non-coding RNA, 4569 nt
Organism: Hippopotamus amphibius kiboko
Lineage: Eukaryota; Metazoa; Chordata; Mammalia; Artiodactyla; Hippopotamidae
Exons: 3
Source: RefSeq, a predicted model, not a curated record
UGACCCAGACUGGGGUAUCUCUCAGUUUCUAGGUGUGAAGCUUUAGGUUUGCAGAUGUCUAAUGUUUACAUAACAUACUCAAAUAUGCAAGAGAAAAAAGAGCAAACUACCUCAUUGUCUACACCGACUUCCAGGGAACUCACAGGCCUGCUUUCUGAUUCUGAUGGUGGUGCAGCACCAACAGCAGGAAGAAAUCAGCUUGCCCGUGCAGGGUAACUGGGGCGCUGGUUUACAUCAGCCUGUCGUGUUCAGUCACAGUCACCUGGGUGCGUGAUGAGUUCAGCAUCGAAACGCCGCCUCAGGGCUGUUCCUGCUCAUCUCAAGGGUGCCUGAGGCCACCUUGCUGGUGCAGGAGAGUGGGGGUCCACCCGCCACCCUCCGUUUGCAGGUCCCUCUGCCCCGUCCAAGGCGAGGCCCUGGGGCUGCUCCUGGGGGAGUGGCGCCAUCUCCCUGCUGGCCCGGCCCCACCCAUCUCAGCUCUCCUGGCCCCGGAGACGCCCCGAGUCCCGGUCGUGACACAACCUCCGUCCCCGCCUGGGUGUGCACCCUGCAGCCGUGUGGCUGCUCUGCCCGCCCCAACUCCUUGGCAAAUCUGCCAGUCAGCACUCUCAGCCCCUCCUGCAGCGUGGACGGGAGGCAGGACCUUUGAGAAGCCCCACGUGCCUUAGCAAGGCUGUGGAAAGCUGGGGGGCGGGAGUGCAGAGCCACCUCUCCAGACACCUACUCUGUUGCUCUGUCCCUUUUCAGAUGUGGCCCCAUGGGGACCACUGGGCUUUUCUAAGGGGUCUGCAAAUUCUGAGUCCAUAUACUAAGACCUAGGAGGGUGCCUCCUGCGUGGGGACCCCACCAAGCUCGCUGGGUGCUCCUACCCCUAACGUACAGCUCUUCCUCCCCUGAAUGCAACCCGGUGGUGGGGGAGGAGGACAGCACCCUGAUGCCUCCGCUGCCUCCUGUGCCCGCCCCAAGUCUCAGGAGGGUCUUCCUCCUCCUCCUGUUGUGUGGAAGGCUCUACAUCAUCCCCUUUCUACACGGACGAGGAGCCUCCCUGAUGAGCCUAAUUACAGAGGAACUACAGGGAAAGGAAGAAACAAAGCCCCGACCACAUCAGGGGAGAUUUUAAAGCCAGCCACCGCGAUACCCAGAAAACUCACAGCACCCUGGGGAAACAAAAGGGCUGGGACUUGGAGUCAGGACUGGUGCGUGUCCCGGCCCUGCUCCUGCACAGCUCUGUGUUUCUGGGCAGAAGCGCUUCUGCAAAGACAGGGAUGUGGGAGCCCUCUGGGGAGGAGGUGGGUUGGGCGGAGAGCCUGGGGAGAUCCGAGGUGCCAGCACAGGGCUGCGAGUGGAUCAGGACCCUUGGGGCGUCCUCCUGGCACUUCUUUGAGGAGGACCCCUCCCCAGUUCCUGGGGGUCCUGGAGCCUGCUCACAGGCAGUGGACCCGUCCAAGCAGAGCAACCCUGAAAGUGGGGCUGCCCGGCAGGCAGAGAACCCGGGUGCAGAGACAGAAAGAGGGUGAGGCAGGGCCCCCAGAGGGGGGAGAGGGGAGGAGGGGAGGGACCCCAGCCCCUAAUUCCUGACGCACAGCACCCUGUCUGGGAGCCCUGAUAGCCGAGAAGGGGCUGUUCUGGGCAGGGAGGGGCCUGGUCCCCAGGGAAGAGAAGCAGUGGAGACAGCACCCCCGGCAGCCCGCGCUCUCGGGCUCACGAGAGCGCGGCCCUGGGGCCGCCGCCUGCUCCCAGACGCUUCCUGCCGACACUUCCCUGUGGAUGAAACUCUGAACAGUGAAUCACGCUGGGGCCCAGACAUGGGAAGGUCCCGGUACGAGGGAGCUGGAAGCGAUGGGAAGAGCACCCCGCCGGCCCCUGCCCGGCCCCAGAGCCUCUCCUUCCAAGGGAAGGGCCCUGCCGGUGGUGUCAGCGAGGCAGACCUGCCUGAGCCCCCGCCCGCGGGGCUCCCUGGAGCUGCUGCCCCGAGGCUUCUCCCAGAGACGCCGGCUGCCCAGGAGGGGGUCCUGGACCAGCAGGAAGAGCGACUCUCCCGGCACAGCCCCCGGCCUUGGGAAGCCUGGUCACUGACACACACUCCUCCGGCCCCAUUGCCCGUCCCCGGUCAGGCCCCUAUCCCGGCCAGGGGUCCUUAAACUGGAGAGCAUGGGAACCAUCUGAGUGCUUCUUUUAUUUUAAUUAAUUAAUUUAUUUUUAUUUAUUUUCUUUUCUGUUUUUCCCUGCGCCGGGUCUUCGUUGCAGCACGUGGGAGCUUUGCCGAGGCAGGCGGGAUCCUCUGUGGAGGCGCACAGGCUUCUCUCCAGCCGUGGCCCGUGGGCUGCGGAGCGCCUGGGCUCUGUAGCUGAGGCGCGUGAGCUUAGUUGCCCCAAGGCAGGUGGGAUCUUAGUUCCCCGACCAGGGAUCAAACCCGCAUUGGGAGGCGACUCUUCACGCCUGGACCACCAGGGAAGCCCCUGAGUGCUUCUUUUAAAAGGCGCACGUCAGGAACCCACCCCAGUCCGGGGUGAGGCUGAGGAGCCUGAGUUUUUAAAGAACACGACAGGUCCAGCUAAUCUGGGGAGAGCACAUUUUAAAAAGCUUGAUAAAAUAUAUAUAACGUAAAUUUUACCAUUUUAGCGAUUUUUAAGCGCACAUUUCAAUGGCAUUAAGUGCAUCACAUUUUCCUAGGACCAUCACCGCCAUCCAUCCCCGAAACGAUUUCAAUUUCCCCAAAGAGAAACUCUGUACCUACUGAAAACUAACCCCCUACCCCACCCCACCCCCAGUCCCUGGCACCCACCCGUCCGCUUUCUCUCGGUGAGCUUGAGUAUUCUAGGUCAUGUAAGCGGAAUCACACAGUGUUUGUCUCUGCGACUGGCUGACUUCACCGAGCAUGAUGUCUGCCGGGUUCAUCCACGUGUAGCGGGUGUCAGGUGUCCUUCCCUUUGGAGGCUGGAUCGUAUUCCGCGGAAAAGAAACUAAUGAAAACCAACUUGCAGGAUAGCUUUGAAAGGACUGAGUGGGAAGAGACACGCAAAGUGUCCGGCACAGACUCCCAGAACGGCUGUGGAGAAUCCUCUGUAAUUAUAAGAACGUCUCUCAGGGCUUGAGAACUUGGUCCAGCCCCAACCCGUGGUCGCUGGAGCCAGCGCUCAGGCAGCCCCUGUGCGUGGCGCGUCCUGCGGGGAGCAGGGCAGCGUGAAGCACGGCUCUCGUCUCCGGGACGCUGAAGGCAGGAGGGCAAGAUUUACGUGAUGAGGCAACCCGGGAACAACACGAGCCGGGGUGACUCACCCGCUUUCCAGCACAGCUAAUGGAGGGUGUGGACGGGCCCAGGCGACAGCAUGAGCAGCGCGGAAAGGGAGCACCGCAGCACCUCUGCAGACACGCUGCGCCUCUGCGGACACGCUGUGGGAGCAGGGAGGCGGGGGCGGGGGAGCACAGCGCAGAGACCGGGAGGAGUCCGGUCUGGAAGAGGACCUGAGCGGAAAACAGAAGCAGAUUCCUCCCUCGUGCUUCCUGUUUUACAGAAGGUGUCACUACAGUAUUCAAAGACUGGAUAAUAAAACUGAGGGAGGUGAAAAGAGAUUUCAGGGUCAAGAAGACAAACUGAGAACUAGAGACAAUUACUAACCCAAAAAGUGAUUUAGGAACAACAGCAAACAAGGCUAAAAAUAAAACGGCACAAAGGCCAGGCUUGAAACCAUCCCAAUCGGUGUAGAGAAAAGCAAUCAGAGAGGCAAAAGGAAGCGAAGGUCAGCUGAUGUAAGGAUAGCUGACGUCCUCGAGAAACGGAGAAAUGAAACAGAAAAGAUAUUUGGGGGUAUUGCACAGAUAAGGCUGCCCUUAAAUAAAGGAAGGACUGAAUUUACCAAUGGAUAGGAUACGAGGAAUAAUCCCAGAAAAAAGAGAGAAUUGGUCAACACAGAGAUGUAACCUGUUUAAGUGACCAAACGUCAAAGCAUGAAGAAUUUUUCAGGCGUCCAAGCAGAAAAAAAACCAAAUCGUAACAAGAAGGAAGCUCUGGGUAGCCUUAGAUUUCCCCAUGUCCAACACCAGGAGACCAUGAAGGAGAAGAAACAUCCACAGCACACGGGGGGAAGGAAAGCCUGGCCGCAGUCUCAAGGCAAGCGGGGCCCUCAGACGUGAGAGCCUGUCUUGAACACACCAUCCGACAAGACAAGGCAGAAAACUGGGAGUGAUUCAAGCGGAGGACCCAGAGGAGAAGGGCUGGCGGUGAGCGGUGCAUCCUUUCACACCCAGAGCUGAAUGUGAGCGCUUCAAAGUCCCAGCGAGAUGGAAACCUGUGAGAACAAAAAUCAGGAUGUGGAAGACGGGGAGGGACGGGGCGCAGGGGCCAGCACGCCGUCUACGAUGAAGGCAGGACGCAAAACCACCAGCGACGGCAGCCUUUUCAAACGACUUCAAAAAAUAAUUUAUUUCCUGGUCUAUAGAGGGAUUUUGUAGGUACAGAUGUCUCUUGUCGUUAUGAAUCAUUUACCCAAGGUCAAAUAAUGCCUUCGGCUUUCUUUUUUUUCUAUGGUAUGUAAGCGUGAAUAAACGUAACCUUUUCAUAUUUUCAGA